CCUACGGGAGGCAGCAGUGAGGAAUAUUGGUCAAUGGACGAGAGUCUGAACCAGCCAAGUAGCGUGAAGGAUGACUGCCCUAUGGGUUGUAAACUUCUUUUAUAUGGGAAUAAAAUGUUCCACGUGUGGGAUUUUGUAUGUACCAUAUGAAUAAGGAUCGGCUAACUCCGUGCCAGCAGCCGCGGUAAUACGGAGGAUCCGAGCGUUAUCCGGAUUUAUUGGGUUUAACGGGAGCGUAGGUGGAUUGUUAAGUCAGUUGUGAAAGUUUGCGGCUCAACCGUAAAAUUGCAGUUGAAACUGGCAGUCUUGAGUACAGUAGAGGUGGGCGGAAUUCGUGGUGUAGCGGUGAAAUGCUUAGAGAUCACGAAGAACUCCGAUUGCGAAGGCAGUUCACUGGACUGCAACUGACACUGAGGCUCGAAAGUGUGGGUAUCAAACAGGAGUAGAUACCCUUGUAGUC
RNAcentral lists this ribosomal RNA (460 nucleotides) under uncultured bacterium. Its description in RNAcentral is "partial 16S ribosomal RNA". It matches the Rfam family "Bacterial small subunit ribosomal RNA", at positions 338 to 795 of the family's 1533-position model. The record is from RNAcentral.